Molecule: ribosomal RNA, 1357 nt
Filed under: uncultured Bordetella sp.
Lineage: Bacteria; Pseudomonadati; Pseudomonadota; Betaproteobacteria; Burkholderiales; Alcaligenaceae
Description: partial 16S-23S ribosomal RNA intergenic spacer
Rfam family: Bacterial small subunit ribosomal RNA
Source: RNAcentral
UACCCCCGAAAGGGGUGCUAAUACCGGAUGAUGUCGAAAGACCAAAGAUUGGUCGCCUUGGAUGGGCCCGCGUAGGAUUAGCUAGUUGGUGGGGUAAAGGCCUACCAAGGCGCGCGUGACGAUCCCAGCUGCUGGUCUUAGAGGAUGACCAGCCACACUGGGACUGGGAGCAGGACACGGCCCAGACACUCCAUGGGAGGCAGCAGGGGGGGGUAGAAUAUUGACACAAUGGGCAAGCCUGAUCCAGCAAUGCCGCGUGAAAGUGACAUGAACGCUGGGCCUGCUUAGGGUUGUGGUAGUUUCCUUUUAACACCCGGGAUGAUAAUGACAGUACCGGGAGAAUAAGCCCUCCCGGCUAACUCCGUGCCAGCAGCCGCGGUAAUACGGAGGGGGCUAGUUGUUCGGAAUUACUGGGCGUAAAGCGUGCGCAGGCGUCUCUGGAAAAGAAAGAGUGGAAACGAACCUAGAGCUUAACUUUGGGAACUGUACUUUAACUACUGAGCUAGAGUGGCCGAGGAGGUGGAAUUCCGCGUGUAGUGAAACAAUGGUGACAUAUGCGGAGGAAAAGGUAGUGGUAGGUGAAUCACCAUUGAUGGUGGUGGCGGGCGCGCCUCUGGGAUAACACUGACGCUCAUAAUGAAAGCGUGGGGACAAACAGGAUUAGAUACCCUAUAGUCCACGCCCUAAACGAUGUCAACUAUUGUUGGGGCUCUCGGGCCUGGUAGCAGCUAACGCGUGAAGUUGACCGCUCAGAGUACGGUCGCAAGAUUAAAACCUCCAAAGACCGACGGGGACCGCACAAGCGGUGAUAUGUGGAUUAAUUCGAUGCAACGCGAAAACCUUACCUACCCUUGACAUGUCUGGAAUCCCGAAGAGAUUUGGGAGUGCUCGCAAGAGAACCGGAACACAGGUGCUGUAUGGCUACCGCUCGUGUCGUGAGAUGUUGGGUUAGUCCCGAACGAGCGCAACCUUGUCAUUAGUUGUCACGAAAGGGCACUCUAAUGAGACUGCCGGUGACAAACCGGAGGAAGGUGGGGAUGACGUCAAGUCCUCAUGGCCCUUAUGGGUAGGGCUUCACACGUCAUACAAUGGCCGGCGAGGGUUUCUCAACCCGCGAGGGGGAGCCAAUCCCAGAAACCCGAUCGUAGUCCGGAUCGCAGUCUGCAACUCGACUGCGUGAAGUCGGAAUCGCUAGUGCAAUCGCAGUGAUCAGCAUGUCGCGGUGAAUACGUUCCGGGUCUUGUACACACCGCCCGUCACACCAUGGGAGUGGGUUUUACCAAGUAGUUAGCCUAACCGUAAGGAGGGCGAUUACCACGGUAGGAUUCAUGAUCGGGGUGAAGUCGUAACAAGGCAG